Molecule: long non-coding RNA, 1016 nt
Filed under: Fukomys damarensis (Damara mole-rat)
Lineage: Eukaryota; Metazoa; Chordata; Mammalia; Rodentia; Bathyergidae
Description: lncRNA (ENSFDAG00000026241.1)
Source: RNAcentral
CCAGGCCACGCGGGAACAGACCAGACCCGACCCGCGCAGAACGCCGGCCGAGGGCCCAGCCACCCCUCCAGACCCCUCACGAUUUGUGAGGAGAAACAGGCUCACGGGCAGGAAUCGGGCUCGGCGGAGGGUUUCUGGAAUGGACGCUGAAAUCUCCAGGAACAGAAUGCUUGAUUCGUGUGUUGCUAAGGUAGAUGUGGGAAAGGAUUGUGAUACAAUAAGGGAGACACCCAGAUGCACGUGGCGUCCGAACGGGAUGACCGGCGGCGGGGCUGUGGGGAGACAGAGGCAGAGGCAGCCUAACUUCCUCAGAUGCCGGUGCAAAGGAAACACAACCCCAAAUAAAGGAGACGGGAGGUAACGGGCCCUUUCACGGAAUAUAGCAACCCUCUGCGUGUCUGGAGUGGGGUGUUGUACUUCCAGCAGCAGUUUAGCGAUAAACCAAGCUCACCACAGUUCAAGAAUGAGACAAGGAUAACCAUUGUCUAUGCUACUAUUUAACACAGCAGUGGAGAUGACGUCUGACACUAAAGGAAAGAGAAUGAAGCAAGAAACGGAUGAGAUGAGAAUUGAUAUAAUUAUUCACAGAGUCAAGGUCAUGCAUAAUAAUCCUAACUUGCCAGGAGCCAAGCCAUUUACUACAAAGCUGCUUUGCAGCGAAGGAGGCGGAUUGGCACCAGGACCGGAAGAGACGAGUGAAUCAGCACAGCGGAAAGUGAGCACAGACAGCUGAGGGAGUCAAAGAUGGAACAAAAAAUCAGUGGAGAAACAAUUAUUAGCAGACAAAGCUGGACACACGAGCUCACUGUGUAGCAGAAAAUGACGUGGCACCCCGAUGUAACACCAUUCCACUACUGCAUGUUACUGAUGUAAUGACCUUAAUGGGAGACAGAAACACACACAUUUAGAAAGGAGUGGAUGUGAGAGAGUGUGAAAACUUCUACUAAAAAAAAAUCGAUAACGACAUUAACAACUGAAUUAUAUUAAAAUUAAAAAUCAGUAAAAUAAAGAGCACA